Molecule: transfer RNA, 70 nt
Filed under: Conticribra weissflogii
Lineage: Eukaryota; Bacillariophyta; Thalassiosirophyceae; Thalassiosirales; Thalassiosiraceae
Rfam family: tRNA
About the family: Transfer RNA (tRNA) molecules are approximately 80 nucleotides in length. Their secondary structure includes four short double-helical elements and three loops (D, anti-codon, and T loops).
Source: RNAcentral
UGGCCGAGUGGUCUAAGGCGUCAGAUUUAGGCUCUGAUCUUCAUUGGCGCAGGUUCGAAUCCUGCCGAUG